This is a long non-coding RNA of Manis pentadactyla (Chinese pangolin), 565 nucleotides long. RefSeq lists it as uncharacterized. The transcript is spliced from 3 exons. The record is from RefSeq and is a predicted model, not a curated record. Lineage: Eukaryota; Metazoa; Chordata; Mammalia; Pholidota; Manidae.
CUCUGUCCAGCUCGGCUUCACGCAGCUGGCGAAGCUCUUCUGCCACGCGGGCAUUAGGUGCAGUCAUUUCACCUUGAAAUCCGAGAAAGAAGAGAAAUCUGCACUCCUUCCCCUUCCCUUUUCCCACUCCUGAAACAUCCGCGCCACCCCCUGCGCCCCCGCGAUUAACCCUGCGAACGAGAAGUUUGCCCUGACACACCUAGUUCAACCACUUCUUGGAAUUCGGAGAUAAACUGAACCGUAUGAAGCAAGUGCUUUACAUUCAUUAUCCCCUUGAUCUUCCCAACAACCCUGAAAGAAGAUGAUGACAAUUCCCAUUACAGAGGAGGAAAGCUCCAAAACGUUAACUGUGCAACAUCUCUCAGUUGGAUUAGCAGGUUGGGCUCAGUGGGAAAGAAGGCCCCUGUUACCAGCCAUCUGUGUUCCGUUCUUCACUUCUGAAACAAGACAGCUCCAAAACUGAACUGGAGAGGGAAUUGGAGCUGCAUACAGAUCAGCAGAGCUGUUGCUAACAGCCCUGACGCCUGCAGGAUGACUCAACCCUCUGUGCCUGGCAGAGUCAGCU